RNAcentral lists this unclassified non-coding RNA (405 nucleotides) under Bombus terrestris (buff-tailed bumblebee). RNAcentral's name for it is "misc RNA ENSBTSG00005025867.1". Lineage: Eukaryota; Metazoa; Arthropoda; Insecta; Hymenoptera; Apidae. The record is from RNAcentral.
UGCUCCGUGUAAAGUGGCAUAAUUAACUUGCCGUGGCGACUUCUUAAUUGCGGAGGAGGAAAAGUUCAAGGACCGAGCCGCGUGUAUUUUGCAGCGGAUCGCGCGAAAGCCCGCGGUAAGAGCCGAAGGGGCAGCAGAGGGGGGAAAAGCGAGCAGCAGAAAUCGCGUCAACACCGGUGAUUAAUACGAUAACGAGGAAAGGAAUAAGGGAAAAGAUGUUUACCGACCAACGACGCCGACUUCUGCUCAGUUCUUAACCGGACGUUAAAUGAUUACAUUGGCAAUUACAGCGGAAUUACUUUACGAUACAAUCAUCCUCGUCUUCCUUGCACUUCGUACAACUCCACUAGGAAAGCAGGAUAUUUACGACCUUCGCUAGCCACAGCUUGAAACGUCCAUCUGCAU